GUGACGUUGGCUGAUGUGGAAAUGGCUCCGGGUUGUGAUUCCGGAAGAUGCGGGUUCGAACCCCGUACGUCACC
RNAcentral lists this transfer RNA (74 nucleotides) under Vibrio phage pVp-1. It matches the Rfam family "tRNA". Rfam says of the family: Transfer RNA (tRNA) molecules are approximately 80 nucleotides in length. Their secondary structure includes four short double-helical elements and three loops (D, anti-codon, and T loops). RNAcentral also lists the same sequence under 1 other name. The record is from Rfam by way of RNAcentral. Lineage: Duplodnaviria; Heunggongvirae; Uroviricota; Caudoviricetes; Demerecviridae.